This 806-nucleotide ribosomal RNA is filed under the name uncultured bacterium. Its description in RNAcentral is "bacterial SSU rRNA". It matches the Rfam family "Bacterial small subunit ribosomal RNA", at positions 8 to 796 of the family's 1533-position model. The record is from RNAcentral.
AGAGUUUGAUCAUGGCUCAGAACGAACGCUGGCGGCGUGCCUAACACAUGCAAGUCGCGCGCGAAUGGAGCAAUCCUAGUAGAGCGGCGAACGGGUGCGUAACACGUGGGUAAUCUGCCUGAGAGCCCGGAAUAACCUGCCGAAAGGCAAGCUAAUACCGGAUAAGCUCACGAGGUCUUCGGACCUCGAGAGAAAAGGUGGCCUCUGUACACAAGCUACCGCUUUCAGAUGAGCCCGCGGCCCAUCAGCUAGUUGGUGAGGUAACGGCUCACCAAGGCUAAGACGGGUAGCUGGUCUGAGAGGACGACCAGCCACACUGGAACUGAGACACGGUCCAGACACCUACGGGUGGCAGCAGUCGAGAAUUUUUCACAAUGGGCGCAAGCCUGAUGGAGCGACGCCGCGUGGGGGAUGAAUGGCUUCGGCCCGUAAACCCCUGUCAUUUGCGAGCAAUUCGCAUUAUUUAAAAGAUGAUGCGUUGAUAGUAGCGAAAGAGGAAGGGACGGCUAACUCUGUGCCAGCAGCCGCGGUAAUACAGAGGUCCCAAGCGUUGUUCGGAUUCACUGGGCGUAAAGGGUGCGUAGGUGGCGAGGUAAGUCGGAUGUGAAAGCUCGGAGCUCAACUCCGAAAUGGCAUUGGAAACUACCUUGCUCGAGGGUUGGAGGGGGGACUGGAAUGCUUGGUGUAGCAGUGAAAUGCGUAGAUAUCAAGCGGAACACCAGUGGCGAAGGCGAGUCCCUGGACAACUCCUGACACUGAGGCACGAAAGCUAGGGGAGCAAACAGGAUUAGAUACCCUAGUAGUCC